UACGUAGGGCGCGAGCGUUGUCCGGAAUUAUUGGGCGUAAAGAGCUCGUAGGCGGCCUGUUGCGUCCGCUGUGAAAUCCCAGGGCUCAACCCUGGGCCUGCAUUCGAUACGGGCAGACUAGAGUGUGGCAGGGGAGACUGGAAUUCCUGGUGUAGCGGUGAAAUGCGCAGAUAUCAGGAGGAACACCGGUGGCGAAGGCGGGUCUCUGGGCCAAUACUGACGCUGAGGAGCGAAAGCGUGGGGGGCGAACAGG
This 253-nucleotide ribosomal RNA is filed under the name uncultured bacterium. Its description in RNAcentral is "partial 16S ribosomal RNA". It matches the Rfam family "Bacterial small subunit ribosomal RNA", at positions 524 to 776 of the family's 1533-position model. The record is from RNAcentral.